RNAcentral lists this ribosomal RNA (429 nucleotides) under Bacteroidota bacterium. RNAcentral's name for it is "Bacteroidetes bacterium partial 16S ribosomal RNA". It matches the Rfam family "Bacterial small subunit ribosomal RNA", at positions 355 to 776 of the family's 1533-position model. Lineage: Bacteria; Pseudomonadati; Bacteroidota. The record is from RNAcentral.
UAGGGAAUCUUCCGCAAUGGACGCAAGUCUGACGGAGCAACGCCGCGUGAGUGAAGAAGGAUUUCGGUUCGUAAAACUCUGUUGUUAGAGAAGAACAGCGCAUAGAGUAACUGUUAUGCGUGUGACGGUAUCUAACCAGAAAGCCACGGCUAACUACGUGCCAGCAGCCGCGGUAAUACGUAGGUGGCAAGCGUUGGCCGGAUGUAUUGGGCGGAUAGCGAGCGGAGGCGGUCAAUUAAGUCUGAUGUGAAAGCCCCCGGCUCAACCGGGGAGGGUCAUUAGAAACUGGUUGACUUGAGUGCAGAAGAGGAGAGUGGAAUUCCAUGUGUAGCGGUGAAAUUCGUAGAUAUAUGGAGGAACACCAGUGGCGAAGGCGACUCUCUGGUCUGUAACUGACGCUGAGGCUCGAAAGCGUGGGUAGCAAACAGG